UGGGGUAGUGGCUCCAAACUAACGUGUUGGUAAAUUCUGUUUUCCAUGGAUUAUCUUCACUGAGAAUUGUCUUAUUGACAUAAUAUAAGACAAUGGACCUUUCAUCCAUGAGAAUCUCAUGUUUUCAAGCUACACAUAGAAUUGUUGUAUAUGAUAAAAUCCAUAGUUGACUUAGUGAAAGGAGUAUUUUGAAAACAAAACAAGACACCAUGGAAAAGUGUUUUCUGUUCUGAGGUGUCAGGAAUUUCAUACAAGAGGCUAGUGUGGGAUUUAUUUUUUCUGUAUACAAUAAUAUUUUGCAUGCAUUUCUUCCUCCUUCCUUCCAGCACAUACUAACCUUACCAUUGCCAGUAUUUCUCAUCAGGGAGUUAACAUGCAGGCUGGGUAUUAGGAAGUAAUUAGGUUUCUUUAUGUAUUCUUAAUUAAUUUUUUAUUUUAUUUUUUAGUGUAGGUACUGGAGAUUGAACCCAGGACCUUGAGCAUGCUGAGCUGUACCCUCCCCGCAGCUGUUAGGAGGAAGGCAGGCGGUGCAGAUCCUGGCUCUGGUGGGAACACGGACCAGGCGAGAGGCAGGCUGAGUGUGAGUGACGCCCAUUCUGCAGGCGCCGCCUCCGCCCUGCUCUCCCAUGGCUGCCACGCGGAAGUGCGGGCCCAGACUUGCUUGGUCGCCUGGUUUCUGAGGGUAGCUGGCUAUCAGCAUCUUCAUGUGAAGUCUUCUGAGUCUUCUGAGUUUUUAAUAUUGGCAACCCAUUCAGAUUAAAAAAAGCAAACACCAUGAAGACCUAAUAAAUUGCUUCAGUAGCCAGAUUCAGCCCAUGAGGCGCCACUUUUCAACCCAGUAUUAUGAAAAGUUGAUUCAUUUCAUGGAGCGCAAAAUCUCAUGUCUUUCUUUCUGAAAAGUGACUGAGUAGGUAACGUACCAGUCAGAAAUGUCCAAGUGGGAGGAAGGGCAGCAGCUUGCGCACAGGCAUCAUCCUACCCAGAAAUGCCUUAGGAGAGUCAUCUCCUCCCACCUAAAAUCACCUAAAAUCAUGUCACAGCCAUAGGUCGUCUCAGCUGUGCUGUAAGCAGUUUAUUUCCCCUAACUUUGGCACUGAUUACUAAGUUUGAAGAUUAAUACCAGAGAAUUGCAUAAAUGUCAGUUUCCUGAUGGUUGGUUUCAUUUAUUUAUUAAGACUUCAUUCUCUGUAAUACAAACCACCCCAGAUUAGGCCUCAUGUUUAUAGGUUCUGCCAGAAUCGGUCAUGCCAUUAGUGAAAGCUGGCCUUUGUUGUUUCAAAUGCUUAAAAACACCAUGGAAAUUAUUAACUCCAAGAGCCUCAGAGGGGCCCUGGCAGCAGGCCACAGCUCAUUCCUUCCUUCAACUCUUGUGUUUAGACCAUUAAAGCAGGAAUUUAAUUAAUUUUUUGAUUAAGCAAAAUCAUUACAGAUAAUAUUCAGGUAGGUUGUAAAGUGAGAAAGGGCUCUUUACUGAAACUUGCCCUAUUUAAGAUCAGAAAGUUGAAGGGAUUAGCACCAAGGGGUGGGAUUUUUCAGGUUCGGAUCAGAUUUGAAUCUACCCCCAAAUGGUAAUCGACGCCAGAGUCAUCAUUAUGAGAAGGCUGGUUGGGCCUUUGGAAUUCGUCACUGUUGUCAGGCAGGAAGGUGAUUCCAUUUCACAGUAAUUGAAGGUCGGAUAGGAUUCUUUCCCACCCCUGGGUCUGGGCCACAGUUGACAAGCUCCUUGUUUUCUUUGCUGAGGAAAUGGAAGAGCCAUCAGCGCAACCCUCUUCCAGCACGUCAAUUUGGCACCUCAACAGGGUAACAUUAGAAGCUCUGAAUCAACACUUAGCGGGAAAGUGAAACCAGCUAGCAGUCAGUCCAGGGAACUGAGAUAAGCCCUUCCUUAUCUGGUGGCCCUGAUAAAAGCUUCACCUGCGUUUAGUUUGAUGCCUGUGAAGAAGGGCCCUUUGUGGUAGCUUUUUUGGAAGCCCACAGUUUUUCUCUGCUCCAGACACUUGCCAAAUAAAAUUUUAUUUAUUUACUUUUCAAUGGCAUGGAAGGAUGCCCCUUUAACCUCUUUUGUUAUCUUCUUUAAAAGAAAGUUUAGCAUCCUGUGAAGAGAGAGCUGGAAUGAGAUGAUCUGGGAUGUUUCCCUGCUUCUCCGCCUACUUACCUUGCGCCCUUUAGGCAAGUAACGUCCUCUCAGGGAUGGAGUUACUGGGACAUGGCCUACUGUGUGUAUAACGUUUUAAGGAACUAACCAAAUGGCUCUACAAAGUAGAUGUGCAGUUUUACAGCUUCACCAGCAGUUUAUGAAGGUUCCAGUUUCUCCACAUCCUUCUCAACACUGAUUCCACAUAUGAGCGAUGUCAUAUGGUAUUUUUCUUUCUCUUUCUGGCUUACUUCAUUUAGAAUGACAUUCUCCAGGAACAUCCAUGUUGCUGCAAAUGGCGGUCAGUUUUUAUGGCUGAAUAGUAUUCCAUUGUAUAAAUAUACCACAUCUUCUUUAUCCAGUCAUCUGUUGAUGGACAUUUAGGCUGCUUCCAUGUCUUGGCUAUUGUAAAUAGUGCUGCUAUGAACACUGAGGUGCAGGUGUCUUUUUGAAGUAGGGUUCCUUCUGGAUAUAUGCCUAGGAGUGGGAUUCCUGGGUCAUAUGAUAAGUCUAUUCCUAGUCUUUUGAGGAAUCUCUGUACUGUUUUCCAUAGUGGCUGCACCAAACUGCAUUCCCACCGGCAGUGUAGGAGGGUUCCCUUUUCUCCACAGCCUCUCCAGCAUUUGUCAUUUGUGGACUUUUGAAUGAUGGGAGAAAGGCCAUUUUAAAAUGAGGGAUACAAGCUGCAUCAAAAAAAGCAGGACUGCUUCAGAGGAAUCAAAGUUAGAGAGGAAGGUUGGCAGGGAGGAAUGAUUAGUGUGGGGGAAAAUCUGUUCUGUUUUAGAUGUUGCACAUUUGUAGCUUGGGGCACUUUUCUGUGUACUCUAGUAUCACCUAUUCACAUGGAGCCAUUCCUGAUAAUGUUAUGUGAACACGCAAACCCUAACAUACUUAUUAUUUUAACAGCUUUGGUGAGCUGUAAUUCACACACCAUACAUUUCUUUCACUUGCAGGGUACAACUAUCCUACUUAGGGUAUCAGACAGGAAUAGAGUGUUAUCUAUAUAGUAUGGGUCCCUGUAACUUUUUUUUUUAGUUUUUUUUUAAUGGGGGGAGGUAAUUAGGUUUAUAUUUAUUUAUUUUUGUAAUGUAGGCACUGGGAAUUGAACCCAGGACCUCAUGCAUUCUAGGCAUGCAUUCAACCACUGAGCUGUACCCUCCCCACUUGGGUCCCUGUACUUUUAAAGUGCAGAAUCUCCUGGUGGUAGAGUUUAAAUGUACUAGAAAAGAAAUUAUAGGGCCUAAGAAAUAAUAAGGCCUAAAGUAAUUACUUUAGCUUUGAAAAAGUCUAAUAAACUUCCACAGUAAGUUUGUUUUUGCAACAUCCUUGCUUUGAGGAGGGAAGUUAGAGGUCUUUGCCUCUCCAGAAGUUUAAAUAGAAUUACAAAACUUCCACUCCCUUUGGUGAUGCUCAUAGGGUUAUUUUCAUGUUGUUAAUAAAAGAAGUGAGGCUCUUUGAUGUUUUGAAGCAUAACCUCACAAGCCUUGGAGUACAGCCAAAUAUAUAGCAAAAAUUUUAUAGUUUGUUUCUUUUUAUGAUUUUUGCUUAUAUACAUGGAAGUCAUUCUCAUGGUUAAAUUUUUCACUAUUGGUGGUAAUUAUUAGGGUUUUACCAGGUGAUAAUUAAUCAUGCCCUUUUCCUUGAUUCGUGUUUAGAAACAAGUGAGAAAUAAAACGCAGGAGUCAGACAGAAAUGAAAAUAUAAGCUUUAUUCCUGAUAAAGCUGAUUGGAAAGCAAGACUUAGGUAUACAGACACAAGGCUUUCCUUGGAUCAUUGAUGAGGUUUGGUGCUAGUACUAGAAAAUUCAAAAUAAUAGUGGCAUAAGUGAGGAAGGGACUAUUUCUCACCUAAAAGUCCAGACAUGUCAGAUCAGGGCUGCUAGAGUAGUCCACAUAUACAGCCCCAGACUCCUUUCCAUUUUUUGCAUUUGCUGUGCAUGGUUUCCUUUUCCAAGGUUUUUCUGGGGUCUAGUAUGGACCAGCUCUAGUUAUCAUGUGUACAUUCCAGCCAAGAGGAAAAAAGAGGGGUUAAGGGAAGGAUAUCUCCAUUUAAGGACACAUCAUUUUCCAUUAUGUCCCACGAGCUACAACACAGUCACUUAGCCACAUCUAAGUAGGAAAAGUGAGUAUUCUGGGCUGCCAUGUAGCCAGCUAAAACCUGAGAAUUCUCUGAUAGAAGGGGAGUGAGAGUAACUGCUGGACGACCUGCCGUCUCUGCCACAUUCCUGAGUUAAACUUACACAGCCAGGCAGCAGUAGAAGCUAGACCACCACUGGCGUCCCCUCUAGUGAGGGGCAAGCUGCUUACCACAGAGCAGAGACUCACCUCGAGGGUAAGCUGCUUGGAAGAGGGGAACCCAAAGAGGGCUGAGCCCAACAUGCUCCAUCCCUUCUCAUUCUCUUCCACUGAGAGGUCAGACGUGUUUCUCCUAUACACUUCCUUCCUCACUCACAUCUGGCUUUUCUAAGGGACAAUACAGUGAACUGUCAUAAGGCAGGAACGCAGCACAUGAUUUGGCACCGCAAUAACAAGGUUUCCUGAAUUUCCUGUCUUCUAGCCUUUCUUUGUCUUCACAAUCCACUAGAUUAAGAAAUCUUCCUGAAUAGUCAUAAGAGAGUUCUUCUUCUGGCAGAAUGUCUCUGGCUGCAAAAAGUGCCAACUUUGGUACCAUCGAAUCAAUUCGGACAGGAAUCAUCAACAGAUUUGGCUCACAAGAGUGGUUAAGGAAUCUUCCAAUAUUUCCUAUAGAGAGAACCCUAAAACCUCGCCAGCAUAUUCACAGACAAACCGUCCUUUUGGUAUAAAGUCCAAGGUGCGAAGUCCCCAGCCUUUCUGAUCCGUCUUGAACACCUGGAGGUGGAACUGCAGACCCCGCUGGACCACUCUGUUCCUGCAGCGGUCACUGCACCGACACAGGACAUUGCAUUCGAAAACGGGCUCAGCAUACUUUGCUUCCGAUCCUGCAUCUCGGAGGCAUAAAUCAUCAUCAUAGUUCUUCUCACGACGGAGGCAGGAACAAGUACCAGGGAGGCAGGGGGUUUUGAGACAAAUGCAUCCGGGAAAGGUUAUUUGAGUGGGAUCAAUGUCUGCUCCAGGUCCGGCUACAUGGUCAGGAGUAUACUACAAAAAUAGAAAUACUGUUGCUGUGAAGGAAAAAAUGAGAGGAAACCAUGGAAAGAGCUGACUCCAGUGGCUGGCACAUAAGUGUUCAGAAUGAAUUACACAGGCUGUCUAGUAGGGUGGUGGAAAAAUCACGUUAUGGAGUUAAACUUUCCAGGUUUAAACAUACUCAAACCAAAAUUAUGUCUGGGAAACCAUAUGAUUAUAUUCCUACCUCCAUUACUUAUCCAUCUUGGGGGGGGGGGGGAACCAAGAGCUGACCCAGAAGAUUGCUUUCAUUCAUCAGUAAACACUGCCUUAUUGCCUAUUGUAUGCACAUGCUGGGAUUUAGAAAGAACCACUGAGAAAAACACAAAAGAGGACAUGCAGAACGGGAUUUUUUACCUUUCUGUGGUUGUUGCCAUAACAUACAUUUUACUUUUUCCUGGUAUGUAUUGUAGUGCAAAAUCGAUCACACAAGAGUUGGCAAUAAAUAAAAAACUAACUGA
Molecule: long non-coding RNA, 5742 nt
Organism: Camelus dromedarius (Arabian camel)
Lineage: Eukaryota; Metazoa; Chordata; Mammalia; Artiodactyla; Camelidae
Exons: 5
Source: RefSeq, a predicted model, not a curated record